UGCCAGCCGCCGCGGUAAUACGGAGGGUGCAAGCGUUGUUCGGAAUUAUUGGGCGUAAAGCGGGUGUAGGCGGUUAGGUAAGUCGGAUGUGAAAGCCCAGGGCCCAACCCUGGAACUGCAUUCGAUACUGCCUAACUAGAGUCUCGGAGGGGGUGGCGGAAUUCCCGGUGUAGAGGUGAAAUUCGUAGAUAUCGGGAGGAACACCAGUGGCGAAGGCGGCCACCUGGACGAUGACUGACGCUCAGACCCGAAAGCGUGGGGAGCAAACAGGAUUAGAUA
Molecule: ribosomal RNA, 279 nt
Filed under: uncultured bacterium
Lineage: Bacteria
Description: partial 16S ribosomal RNA
Rfam family: Bacterial small subunit ribosomal RNA
Source: RNAcentral